Molecule: ribosomal RNA, 118 nt
Filed under: uncultured bacterium
Lineage: Bacteria
Description: partial 16S ribosomal RNA
Rfam family: Bacterial small subunit ribosomal RNA
Source: RNAcentral
CGCGGUGAAUACGUUCCCGGACCUUGUACGCACCGCCCGUCAAGCCAUGGAAGUCUGGGAGACCUGAAGACGGUGGCCGUUAAAGGAGCCGUUAAGGGUAAAACAGGUAACUGGGGCU